UACGGAGGAUGCGAGCGUUAUCCGGAUUUAUUGGGUUUACAGGGUGCGUAGGCGGAUCGUUAAGUCAGUGGUCAAAUUGAGGGGCUCAACCCCUUCCCGCCAUUGAAACUGGCGAUCUUGAGUGGAAGAGAAGUAUGCGGAAUGCGUGGUGUAGCGGUGAAAUGCAUAGAUAUCACGCAGAACCCCGAUUGCGAAGGCAGCAUGCCGGCUUCCUACUGACGCUGAAGCACGAAAGCGUGGGGAUCGAACAGG
This 252-nucleotide ribosomal RNA is filed under the name uncultured bacterium. Its description in RNAcentral is "partial 16S ribosomal RNA". It matches the Rfam family "Bacterial small subunit ribosomal RNA", at positions 524 to 776 of the family's 1533-position model. The record is from RNAcentral.